AACCACCACACUCGUAAUAAAAGGCGUCGAAUUCCGGUACGAAAUCACCUCUUUGUUCACAAGAUAACAAAAUGAAUAAGUCAGCGCUUCUCCUCUUGCUUGUCAUCGGACUCCUCGUCCUCACCGAAAAUACGAAUGCUCAUUCUCACGCAGUUAUUCGUCGUCGUAGUGGGAGCUCGAAGUGGAAUUGGAACCAAAGGCAAAAUGCUGAAGAAGCCAUUUCAGCUGAAGAAGUCGAGGAUGAUAGAAGGUGAAACGAUAACUAGACGACUUAAAAUGCAAAACACUUGCUGUCGAUAUCAAUAAACCAACAUGCAUAUAUACGU
Non-coding RNA from Ciona intestinalis (vase tunicate), 326 nucleotides. The record is from RefSeq and is a predicted model, not a curated record. Lineage: Eukaryota; Metazoa; Chordata; Ascidiacea; Phlebobranchia; Cionidae.